AAGUCGUAACAAGGUUUCCGUAGGUGAACCUGCGGAAGGAUCAUUACCACUUAAAAAAUAAUCCAAACCUUUCUAUCAACCCACGUCCCGUGUGAAAUGUGUUCCCUUUCUUUUUUGAACUCAAAAAAGAAAAAACAUGUGAACGUUCAGUGUGAGGAGAAAAGGGUUCGCGAAAUUCCUCUCCUCGCCUGAAUGCUUCUCUAUGUUUUUCUUCUUCUUCUUUUGGACUUCAAAAAAAGUUUGAGCCCCCACGUCCCCAUUUUUUAGAAAAAUAUGGUUGGAGAAAAAGACAUGUUUUUUUUUGGAAAAAAAACAUUAAAUGAGAGACAACUUUUAACGGUGGAUCUCUUGGCUCGU
This 357-nucleotide unclassified non-coding RNA is filed under the name fungal sp. RNAcentral describes it as "partial internal transcribed spacer region". The stretch from base 1 to 46 matches the Rfam family "Eukaryotic small subunit ribosomal RNA", at positions 1786 to 1831 of the family's 1831-position model. The record is from RNAcentral. Lineage: Eukaryota; Fungi.